UGCCUUUCCUCGUCAUUCAUAUGGGCUCUUGCUGCUCUGCAAGAGCUUGAUUGGGUCAUUGGGAUUCACAUUUCACACCAUUGAAACAUCUUGAGGAUCAUAGAGGAUCUUUGCGCUCAUAUCCUCAUUUGGGUGGACCAUUUCAAAACUUAGAUGAAGCUUACAAUGGUAAUGAUUGCUAUCGUCAUGACCAAUUGUGAUCCAACAAUGUUAGUUUUUCAAGUUCUCUAGAUUUCCAUUCAUCCAUUUAUCCUGUUUUCUGUGCACACUUGCAAUUGAUUAUAUUUAAAAGGAGUUAAGCAGGCACAUGCUUCUAUGAUGUAGGCCACACAAGAUAAUCAAAUGAACCAGUUAAAAGGCGAAUGGCUCUAAAUCUAUAUUUAGAUGUCUAUUGCAGUUUGAAGCUGAGAUUUCUGUACCUGGUAUUGGCAUGUUCUUCUGCGGUACGGUUUCAUACUGUCUCUAUGUUUUUUUCUAUUUCUAAGUUUUUCAUGUUUUCUAACGAAAAGGGCCUUACUCUGGUUACCAGUUUACUGGUAAGCUGAAGUUCCAACCCCAACAAGGCUAGAGAAGCGAGGAUUGCAGAGUUGUGUCCUGCUUCCUCGGGUUGAGAAGCUGGAGAUGGUGGCUCAGGACGCAGCCAACUCGUCUUGUACUCUGCUGUCACUUUCCCUGAUCAAGUGCUCGUCCCUAGGGCAUAGGGUAUGCAUACUUUGUCGACAUGCUCAUCCUCUAAUUUGAUCGGUACUCUCUUUGGGCCUCCUGUUUGAGCUCUCUCGCUUGCUUGUAGACCGUGUAGAAUUGGGGCAGAUUUUGAGGUAUGCUGCUCAUAUUGUGCUAGAGUGCUACUUAUCGUCUGAUUGUACCUUCUAGGACGAUGGAAAUCUUGGUGUAAUUUGGCACAUGCCGGGUUGUAGGUAGGCUACUCUGGCAUGUAAUGGUAGAGGGCUGAAACUUUCAAAACUGAACUCCCUACUUGAAGGACAGGAGUGAGUAGUUUCAGUUUUUUAAAAGUUCCCUUUGAUGAAAGUUCAUCACCAUCCAGCUGAAAGCACAAUUUGAAAGUUUAAACAUACAAUUGAAUGCCGGGUAAGGUCUGGAGGGGUGGUGUUCACUGCGUGAGAAAUCAUCACAUACUGUGAAAUAGAUGUUCAUAUACCUGUGUUAUACAUAUGAAUGAUGAGUUAAUAACCGUGUACUGCUCAACAUUAG
This 1212-nucleotide long non-coding RNA is filed under the name Triticum aestivum (bread wheat). Its description in RNAcentral is "long non-coding RNA (TAES_LNC007173)". Lineage: Eukaryota; Viridiplantae; Streptophyta; Magnoliopsida; Poales; Poaceae. The record is from RNAcentral.